Nasonia vitripennis (jewel wasp) is the source of this 1543-nucleotide RNA transcript. RefSeq lists it as uncharacterized. The transcript is spliced from 6 exons. The record is from RefSeq and is a predicted model, not a curated record. Lineage: Eukaryota; Metazoa; Arthropoda; Insecta; Hymenoptera; Pteromalidae.
GUGCAGAAAGUUGCACCGAAUUGCUAGCUUCAGACCACGGCGCGUAGAAAAUAAAUUUCUAUAGUCCGUAGCGCGAGAGUCGCUCUUCUGCAGUGCGUUCUGCUAGGCGCAUGUAAACAGCUGUGCAGAAAUCCUCGCAGUAUACUCGUACUUGUUGCUCAAACCCUUUCUCGUGCUGCUAAUAGUUGUAAUAGUGUAGUGUUGUAAAAUGUACGAACAAAAGCAGGGAUUCCAGCAGUUGUGGGUGUACGGGAGAUGUUGCUGUUUUUUUGCCAAUUGCCAAGUUGUAAAAUGUGUGCUGCAGUAGUCGAGCUCAUUGCUUCAGAUGUUCUGGACGAUCGCUGUACUUAUUCUCUUGUACAGAAGCUAUUGCUCACUUGAACAAAACUGGCGAGUGAACAGUCUACCUUUCACACAGAGCUCCAAAAUGAAGAUGUUAGUCAUGUAUGCACCUACCCUAUCUGACUCUGUUGAAAAAAUUUGGUCUGGAAAUCCAAUUAUUAUACGCAUAAAAUGGUUCACCACUGCCUUGAAUUGCUCAUUAAUGAGAUGGGGCAUGAGUUGUUCAAAAUUCCGGUCACUGUGGUACAAUGCAGGAAUGGUCUCAACAAUUCUACUGUUUCUAAUAUCGAUAGUAGUCAUUUUAAAGUGACACUUAACAUUUGGCUGUACAAUUCAGCAUCGCCAAAUCAAAAGUAAGAACAAGUAUUGGAACUUAUGUCACCAGGUUCCAUUUCUUACAAUGAGAUGGGAUACUAUGUGCUCUCAUUAAUAUUAUGCAGUGCUGUGCAUGAGAUGGGACGUGCUAUGGCAGCAGUUAGAGAAGAUGUACGCUGAUUUUUCUUGACAAAUGCUGGUAACUUCAUCAAAGAUAUCUCACUGUAAUCUCCUCUAUUAGGGCCUUCUGGACUUUUAACAGGAGAUGUAGUACACAGAAUUCAUUACUGUUACGUAAAGAAUUCAACAAAUUGGAGAACGUGCAUUCUGCAAGCAACUCAGGCUACUGUGUAACGGAUAAGAUGGAAUUAGAUAAAACUUUUCUGGCUCCUGACAAAAACAAUGGAGUCCAUAACUGCUGUGAUCAGCGCAAUGUAGAAAAGGGAUAUUUAUGUUUUGAGCAUUUAGAAGGGUUUGACAUUCAGGCUCUCAAAGCUGCCAUGCACUUUUCUGCUGCCUUUCUACUCGAGAAAUUGUACAAAGCUUCCAUAAUUUGUGUCAAAACAAUGACUUGUAUGUUAAGACCUGUGUUGGACAACAAAGAUUGUACAAAUUUUCCAGAGGCCUUCAUUUUACUCUGCAAGUGAGACUCCCUUAAGAAGCAAGAUACAGCAACAGAGUGCACGCUCAAUGAUUACUUUGGCCAUAACAACCACAUUUACAUUGCUCCUUGGGUUUAAUUUGAUAAAUAUGUACCUGCAUAAAAUGUAGACUAUGUGACUUAUUAUACAGUUGUUGUGAUUUAUAAGUUAGGGUAACUAUAUAAAAAUGUACAGAUAUUUACUGCUGAUGAAUUUAUAAAUAUAAAAAAAGAAUAUUAAUAUGC